GGUCCCUUCGUCUAGUGGCCUAGGACGCUGCCCUUUCACGGCAGAAACACGGGUUCGAGUCCCGUAGGGAUCA
RNAcentral lists this transfer RNA (73 nucleotides) under Kordiimonas lacus. RNAcentral describes it as "Kordiimonas sp. S3-22 tRNA". It matches the Rfam family "tRNA". From Rfam's summary of the family: Transfer RNA (tRNA) molecules are approximately 80 nucleotides in length. Lineage: Bacteria; Pseudomonadati; Pseudomonadota; Alphaproteobacteria; Kordiimonadales; Kordiimonadaceae. The record is from Rfam by way of RNAcentral.